CCAAGAUCUUGCAUCGACUGUUUAAUGUACUAAAAGGAAAAAAUACAAUUUUUAAUCGGCAUUUGUGGUUUGAUAUCUUAUUUGUUAUGCGGUUCGAUAUCUUAUUCCGUAUUCUAAAUUAAGGCUACGGCGACUAAACGAGUAAAUUUGCACUAAGCUUUUAUAUUCUACUAAAAAUCCGAUAUCUGUUAAUACUAAACGUGUAAACAUAGAGCCUAUAUCAUUCCGUUCACUCACGUUUUUCACUCUUCCGUGUUCUGGAGUGCCGACGAUUCUCACGACACAUAUGUUGUCUAAAACCUCGUUUAAAUGUGUCACAUUUGAUAGAUCCGCCAACCUAUUUAUUUGACUGCUUGAUAACGUAAGUGGCUUGUGAUCGUACUGGAAUUAUUUCAUGACUGUAACCGAUGUAUGCGAACGAUUGUCAAUGAUGCACAUGUGAUACAGAAAAUGACAGGAGAUGAAUAAUCGGAGGACAAGCGAAAGUAGGCUGCGUGAAGCGAAGUGAAUUUCUCGGAUGCACGCGUUGGUCACGUACCUUUUCAUCUCGGAAAAACGUUUGUGUCGCAGCGUUUGUCUCGAUCGCAAACGGGCCGAUGAACAGCAGGACAAUUUUUAGAAACAGCUCGAACAUUGUAACUAGUGUUCCUCAUCGGGCAAGUUCGUGCGAUCUGGGACGAAUUUACCCGAGUACUGAUUCAGUACUACUGACUGCUAGAUGAACCGACCGCUGAUUUCCUCUUUCCUCUGGCUGUCGGAAUUUUGCAACGGCAAACAGCGAGCAGACCACGACAUCUCGAGCGCCCCACUACUGAAUUUCUCCUGGGACUGUGAAUGUAUUACGAUUUUCAGAUUGCCUGGAGUAAAGCGAGUAUGAUCGACAAGUUUUAUAUAAUGAAAAACGACGGUACGGAGAGGAUGUUAGCAGACCGAGUUUAUCGAGUCUACAGGAUCAAACCGGUUCACAGCUUUGUCCGUCCAGUUUUCAACGAAGGAAAAAACAAAAGGGCUAGGCCGGGUUCUGGCGGGUAAGUGAGUGAGAG
Molecule: long non-coding RNA, 1043 nt
Organism: Megalopta genalis
Lineage: Eukaryota; Metazoa; Arthropoda; Insecta; Hymenoptera; Halictidae
Source: RefSeq, a predicted model, not a curated record